This 72-nucleotide transfer RNA is filed under the name Fomitopsis schrenkii. Its description in RNAcentral is "tRNA-Thr (CGT) (tRNA-Thr-CGT-2-1)". It matches the Rfam family "tRNA". From Rfam's summary of the family: Transfer RNA (tRNA) molecules are approximately 80 nucleotides in length. Their secondary structure includes four short double-helical elements and three loops (D, anti-codon, and T loops). Further hydrogen bonds mediate the characteristic L-shaped molecular structure. tRNAs have two regions of fundamental functional importance: the anti-codon, which is responsible for specific mRNA codon recognition, and the 3' end, to which the tRNAs corresponding amino acid is attached (by aminoacyl-tRNA synthetases). tRNAs cope with the degeneracy of the genetic code in two manners: having more than one tRNA (with a specific anti-codon) for a particular amino acid; and 'wobble' base-pairing, i.e. permitting non-standard base-pairing at the 3rd anti-codon position. The record is from RNAcentral. Lineage: Eukaryota; Fungi; Basidiomycota; Agaricomycetes; Polyporales; Fomitopsidaceae.
GCCUUCUUAGCUCAGUGGUAGAGCGCAUCACUCGUAAUGAUGAGGUCACCUGUUCGAUACAGGUAGGAGGCA